GAGUUUCAUCCACAUUCACUCAGUUUAUGUCCCCUCUUCACAGUAAAUCUUGAAAUAAAAGUUAAAACACGAACGUGUGCUAGGAAUUUUUCUGGAAGCUCAGCAGCUGGAAUAUAACCACUGAGAUUUUAGAGGAUUUAUUAAUUAGAAUCUAUGAAGACAAGAUUAGAAAAAAACCCCCAAAUUAAACAUUAUCAUGUUACAGAUCAACUCCGAUGUUGUCAGUGCAGAAGAGCCAGCAGUGGAGGUGGCUUUCUGUAACACCAGUAUCCCCCACAGCUGGAGUCUGGACAAAAACAUUUCCGUCAUUCUGGAACACAUAUGGAGAGAGAUCAAAGAGAUAUAUGUGCUACUAGGCUUUUUUUUUUUCUUCACAGUUACCUGGAUUCAUGACAUUUAUUCUAAGCACAGCUGUUACUGUCUUUCAGCUGUAAAAAAAAAAAAAAAUACAGAGGAAAAAAAUCC
Molecule: long non-coding RNA, 465 nt
Organism: Corapipo altera (White-ruffed manakin)
Lineage: Eukaryota; Metazoa; Chordata; Aves; Passeriformes; Pipridae
Exons: 3
Source: RefSeq, a predicted model, not a curated record